GCAGUCGAGCGGACAGAUGGGAGCUUGCUCCCUGAUGUUAGCGGCGGACGGGUGAGUAACACGUGGGUAACCUGCCUGUAAGACUGGGAUAACUCCGGGAAACCGGGGCUAAUACCGGAUGCUUGUUUGAACCGCAUGGUUCAGACAUAAAAGGUGGCUUCGGCUACCACUUACAGAUGGACCCGCGGCGCAUUAGCUAGUUGGUGAGGUAACGGCUCACCAAGGCGACGAUGCGUAGCCGACCUGAGAGGGUGAUCGGCCACACUGGGACUGAGACACGGCCCAGACUCCUACGGGAGGCAGCAGUAGGGAAUCUUCCGCAAUGGACGAAAGUCUGACGGAGCAACGCCGCGUGAGUGAUGAAGGUUUUCGGAUCGUAAAGCUCUGUUGUUAGGGAAGAACAAGUGCCGUUCAAAUAGGGCGGCACCUUGACGGUACCUAACCAGAAAGCCACGGCUAACUACGUGCCAGCAGCCGCGGUAAUACGUAGGUGGCAAGCGUUGUCCGGAAUUAUUGGGCGUAAAGGGCUCGCAGGCGGUUUCUUAAGUCUGAUGUGAAAGCCCCCGGCUCAACCGGGGAGGGUCAUUGGAAACUGGGGAACUUGAGUGCAGAAGAGGAGAGUGGAAUUCCACGUGUAGCGGUGAAAUGCGUAGAGAUGUGGAGGAACACCAGUGGCGAAGGCGACUCUCUGGUCUGUAACUGACGCUGAGGAGCGAAAGCGUGAGGAGCGAACAGGAUUAGAUACCCUGGUAGUCCAC
This 758-nucleotide ribosomal RNA is filed under the name Bacillus amyloliquefaciens. Its description in RNAcentral is "bacterial SSU rRNA". It matches the Rfam family "Bacterial small subunit ribosomal RNA", at positions 57 to 798 of the family's 1533-position model. Lineage: Bacteria; Bacillati; Bacillota; Bacilli; Caryophanales; Bacillaceae. The record is from RNAcentral.